UACAGAGGGUGCAAGCGUUGUUCGGAAUUAUUGGGCGUAAAGGGCGCGUAGGCGGCUUGGCAAGUGGAUGGUGAAAUCCCUCGGCUUAACCGAGGAACUGCCGUCCAAACUGCUUCGCUUGAGACCGGGAGAGGUGAGUGGAAUUCCCAGUGUAGCGGUGAAAUGCGUAGAUAUUGGGAGGAACACCAGUGGCGAAGGCGGCUCACUGGACCGGUACUGACGCUGAUGCGCGAAAGCGUGGGGAGCAAACGGG
RNAcentral lists this ribosomal RNA (253 nucleotides) under uncultured bacterium. RNAcentral's name for it is "partial 16S ribosomal RNA". It matches the Rfam family "Bacterial small subunit ribosomal RNA", at positions 524 to 776 of the family's 1533-position model. The record is from RNAcentral.